Molecule: ribosomal RNA, 498 nt
Filed under: uncultured bacterium
Lineage: Bacteria
Description: partial 16S ribosomal RNA
Rfam family: Bacterial small subunit ribosomal RNA
Source: RNAcentral
AUUGAACGCUGGCGGCAUGCCUUACACAUGCAAGUCGAACGGUAACAGGUCUUCGGAUGCUGACGAGUGGCGAACGGGUGAGUAAUACAUCGGAACGUGCCUAGUAGUGGGGGAUAACUACUCGAAAGAGUGGCUAAUACCGCAUGAGAUCUACGGAUGAAAGCAGGGGAUCGCAAGACCUUGUGCUACUAGAGCGGCCGAUGGCAGAUUAGGUAGUUGGUGGGAUAAAAGCUUACCAAGCCGACGAUCUGUAGCUGGUCUGAGAGGACGAUCAGCCACACUGGGACUGAGACACGGCCCAGACUCCUACGGGAGGCAGCAGUGGGGAAUUUUGGACAAUGGGCGAAAGCCUGAUCCAGCAAUGCCGCGUGCAGGAUGAAGGCCCUCGGGUUGUAAACUGCUUUUGUACGGAACGAAAAGGCUCUGGUUAAUACCUGGGGCUCAUGACGGUACCGUAAGAAUAAGCACCGGCUAACUACGUGCCAGCCGCCGCCGUAA